RNAcentral lists this ribosomal RNA (253 nucleotides) under uncultured bacterium. Its description in RNAcentral is "partial 16S ribosomal RNA". It matches the Rfam family "Bacterial small subunit ribosomal RNA", at positions 524 to 776 of the family's 1533-position model. The record is from RNAcentral.
GACGUAGGGGGCGAGCGUUGUCCGGAUUUAUUGGGCGUAAAGCGCGCGUAGGCGGCCCGUUAAGUCGGAUGUGAAAACCCGGGGCUCAACCCCGGGCCUGCAUUCGAUACUGGCGGGCUCGAGGCAGGCAGGGGAGAGUGGAAUUCCUGGUGUAGCGGUGAAAUGCGCAGAUAUCAGGAGGAACACCUAUUGCGAAGGCAGCUCGCUGGGACGUAACUGACGCUGAGACGCGAAAGCGUGGGGAGCAAACAGG